Molecule: ribosomal RNA, 327 nt
Filed under: uncultured eukaryote
Lineage: Eukaryota
Description: partial 18S ribosomal RNA
Rfam family: Eukaryotic small subunit ribosomal RNA
Source: RNAcentral
CCCUUAGAUGUUCUGGGCCGCACACGCGCUACACUGAAGGAGGCAGCGUGUACUCCUGGAUCGAAAGAUUUGGGUAACCCGCGAAUCUCCUUCGUGCUAGGGAUUGAGGUUUGCAAUGAUCCUUCAUGAACGAGGAAUUCCCAGUAAGUGCAAGUCAUAAGCUUGCGCUGACUACGUCCCUGCCCUUUGUACACACCGCCCGUCGCUACUACCGAUUGAAUGAUUUAGUGAGGACUUCAGACUGGGACCGAUGCGGCUUUCGGGCUGCGUCGGUAUUCUGGAAAGAUGUCCAAACUGUAUCAUUUAGAGGAAGUAAAAGUCGUANCA